This 672-nucleotide ribosomal RNA is filed under the name uncultured marine eukaryote. RNAcentral's name for it is "SSU rRNA". It matches the Rfam family "Eukaryotic small subunit ribosomal RNA", at positions 618 to 1291 of the family's 1831-position model. The record is from RNAcentral.
GUUAAAAAGCUCGUAGUUGGAUCUCAACAGCCUUGAAGCGGUUAACUUUGUAGUUUUACUGCUUUAUAGGCUGUGCUUUUGCUGGAGGUUUAGGGGUGCUCUUGAUCGAGUGUCUCUGGAUGCCAGCAGGUUUAUUUUGAAAAAAUUAGAGUGCUCAAAGCAGGCUAAAAUGCCUGAAUAUUCGUGCAUGGAAUAAUAGAAUAGGAUGUCGAUCCUAUUUUGUUGGUUUUCGGGACUCGACAUAAUGAUAAAUAGGGACAGUCGGGGGCAUUUGUAUUCAAACGACAGAGGUGAAAUUCUUGGACCGUUUGAAGACAAACUACUGCGAAAGCAUUUGCCAAGAAUGUUUUCAUUAAUCAAGAACGAAAGUUAGAGGUUCGAAGGCGAUUAGAUACCGCCCUAGUUCUAACCAUAAACGAUGCCAGCUAGCGAUCUGCCUGCGUUUUUACUGUAGACUGGGCAGGAAGCUUCCGGGAAACCAAAGCAUUUGGGUUCCAGGGGAAGUAUGGUUGCAAAGCUGAAACUUAAAGGAAUUGACGGAAGGGCACCACCAGGAGUGAAGCCUGUGGCUUAAUUUGACUCAACACGGGAAAUCUCACCAGGCCCGGACACUGGAAGGAUUGACAGAUUGAUAGCUCUUUCUUGAUUCGGUGGGUGGUGGUGCAUGGCCGU